Molecule: microRNA precursor, 106 nt
Filed under: Bigelowiella natans CCMP2755
Lineage: Eukaryota; Cercozoa; Chlorarachniophyceae
Description: miRNA EPrBNAG00000013557
Source: RNAcentral
UGAUGAUGAUGAUGAUGAUGAUGAUGAUAACCCUAAUACUAUCCGAUGGAUUCUUUCAUUUCUUACAUGCACAGUAUUAUUAUUACUAUCAUCAUCAUCACUCUUU